This 121-nucleotide ribosomal RNA is filed under the name Acinetobacter baumannii. RNAcentral describes it as "partial 16S ribosomal RNA". It matches the Rfam family "Bacterial small subunit ribosomal RNA", at positions 1 to 118 of the family's 1533-position model. Lineage: Bacteria; Pseudomonadati; Pseudomonadota; Gammaproteobacteria; Moraxellales; Moraxellaceae. The record is from RNAcentral.
UUUAACUGAAGAGUUUGAUCAUGGCUCAGAUUGAACGCUGGCGGCAGGCUUAACACAUGCAAGUCGAGCGGGGGAAGGUAGCUUGCUACUGGACCUAGCGGCGGACGGGUGAGUAAUGCUU